CGCAGGUCUCAGGAACACCGAGGCAUUCCACGUAGAAGAAUAGCAUGGAGUCAUGAAUCCACGGAAGCUCAGGAAGCCCAGAGUAUAGACUGUUGGGAGGGAGAUGACAUCAGAAUGAUGGUGUGAAGGAGUCAGGUGACGCCGGGAAACAGGAUGGGAUAUCGACGGACCUCCUUUGGUAACGAGAAGGGAAUCGCCCUGGGACAGAAAGAAGAUCCUUACCCCCUGGAGCCUCAGACGCUGCUCUCCAGUUGCAUUAAGGCCUGUGAAGCAGGAACUGAUGGAGCUGCCUAAUACUUCUUAGCAUUUCAAUGUUGUUACAUUUAUAAUGUUACUCAAUUU
RNAcentral lists this long non-coding RNA (342 nucleotides) under Capra hircus (goat). Its description in RNAcentral is "lncRNA (ENSCHIG00000001630.1)". Lineage: Eukaryota; Metazoa; Chordata; Mammalia; Artiodactyla; Bovidae. The record is from RNAcentral.